Molecule: transfer RNA, 74 nt
Filed under: Apaloderma vittatum (bar-tailed trogon)
Lineage: Eukaryota; Metazoa; Chordata; Aves; Trogoniformes; Trogonidae
Rfam family: tRNA
About the family: Transfer RNA (tRNA) molecules are approximately 80 nucleotides in length. Their secondary structure includes four short double-helical elements and three loops (D, anti-codon, and T loops). Further hydrogen bonds mediate the characteristic L-shaped molecular structure. tRNAs have two regions of fundamental functional importance: the anti-codon, which is responsible for specific mRNA codon recognition, and the 3' end, to which the tRNAs corresponding amino acid is attached (by aminoacyl-tRNA synthetases). tRNAs cope with the degeneracy of the genetic code in two manners: having more than one tRNA (with a specific anti-codon) for a particular amino acid; and 'wobble' base-pairing, i.e. permitting non-standard base-pairing at the 3rd anti-codon position.
Source: Rfam by way of RNAcentral
GGCCGGUUAGCUCAGUCAGUUAGAGCGUGGUGCCAAUAACACCAAGGUCAUGGGUUUGAUCCCUCUACAGGCCA